AAUUGACAAGAACCAUACACACUAAGUUACCUAUAAUAGGUAUAGUUAAGGCCACUAUUACUCGCUAUAGCUACUACUCUACCCACUAUAAUACACACUAUUACGAGACUAUACAGUAGUAAGAGAACACACUACGAGCUAUACAAAAGACUACUACACUAUAAUACAAGAGAAAGUACUAAUCCGAAGAUAACACACUAACUCACUAUGAGAUACUCUAUUCGCUACACACUACGCCCAGAGUUUUCCGACAGGAGAACGACGCUACAUGUAUAGAUCUAUACGGGGCAGACACUAUUACAUCCCGACUGUUAAUUUCAGUCCGAGCCGUGCAGGCCCAGGGAUGCCGCUACUUCACUACACUGUGCAUGACCGGGAAGGUCAUGGGGUCCUCUAUUAUUCACACUAUCGGUAGCAUACAAGGAAUACACUAUAUCCACACUAAAAUACUAAACUAAAGGCUAAGUUAACAUCCCGAAGUAAACAAGUAUCUAACACUAAAGGAAGUUUGCACCUCUAUUACUGACUACAGGCAUAACCUAUUUUAAUACCUUACUUAUUGGAGAUUCACUAAUAUACUUUUACACUAAACGGUUUUCAAAGAUGAAAAUUACAUGUUUUCUUAAAGGUUUUCACUUACAAUGUAUUUUCUGGAAAAUAUAGGAUUUUCUAGGGUUUUCUACUACUUAUGAAUGUAAAUUGCAGCUUUUCAUACUAUCAGUUCUAAUGCCUUUUAUACAAAACUCACACUAAACUCUUAUGAACUCACCAGCUUUAUGCUGAUACUCGUUUUCAAAAUAACUUGUAUCCUCAGGUCAAAGAUAGACAGGUACAGGUGCAGCAUUUUGGAGAAGGUGGAGCAUACAAGAUCCAUCUCUUAUUUUUGUAUUACUUUUGGUGUUUGUUGAACAUUACAAAACACACUUGUAAUUAAACUCACUAUGUAAUGCAAUGGUUGUAUGUUUCUUGUUUUUACUAUUAUGCAAUUGUGAUGAUACUGUACAUGACGUCCUCCACCCCGAAACGUAUUCCGCCAUUAUCGGUUUUGGGGUGUGACAGAUUGGUAUCAGAGCAUUGUUUAUAGUGAAUCAAGUAUAUCAAUCUAUAAAAGAUAGACGAACUAUAAACACUUUGGGACUAAAACAGUCUGACCAAGAAUAUAUACUGUUAAGUAUCUAAAAGAUUUAACUAAGUAUAUAUACACACACAUCUCUAUAAAACAUAGAAGUCAGUAUCACGCUAGAACAGAACAAAAGUAUUAAGAUUGUUGGACAACACAGUUGGGUUUAGAGACAUAUAGUCACAUUUGGGGGGAUGUAGCCUGAUAAACUACGUUUUCCUGGGAGUGACUAGCAUGUGCCUAAGCUUGGUUGUGUUGUUGCAACAAGUCUAAAAACUUACCAACACUACCAUAAUAACGUUACCAUAAGGAUACUAUAGGAGUAUUCUGUAUCUCUAAAACACACGUACGUGAUAACUAAAAGGGUCGUUACUAGUAGGACAAUAGUUGCUAAGUGGAUACACCACGGAUACAUGUGACUAGGGCGCUAUAGACUCAGAAUCUGUAGCCUUUGUUUCAUUCCAUGUUCUUGUUUGAUUGGGGGUCUGAAGUUAGGGUUGCUUAUUCGAAGGACUAUCUUGCUUCGAUUACAUGUAAUCGGUAUGCACUACGCAAGUAGUGGGUCGACUAAUAACGAUUCAUCUUAUAUGUAUCUUAGAGUAGUACGUCUAUUAACCUUUCCUUUCCCCCUUUUCUCGCAUAGAUAGCAUGCCUGGCUUUCACCAUCUCGGUGAUCCGUACUAUCCAAACCAGGGCAAUGGAGGAUGGCUCGAGGAGGAGUCAGACGAUGAUCACCCGAUCCCUUUGGAUGAUCAUCAUGCUAAAGGUUUCUCGGAUAGCUCCAGCUCCGAACCAGAAGUUAACAACCAACCUCCUGAAGCUCCGAACCCCAACCCCCGUCCGGCAUUUCAGGGUCCCACUCCUAUGUGGUCCAUAUCCUUGCACCGAUGAAGCGAGGAGCAGGGCCAGCCCUUACCUUACAAUGGAGACCGAAGCUUCUACAACAUAAGCGAAGGGGGAUCAGCAGACCGGGUUCUUCCCAUCGUGAUCCGAAGGAUUGCCAGGAAUGUUGAGCAGGGUCAAGCUGCUAUUGGUCGAGUUGUAGAAGUGGAUGCCAACUCAAAUCUCAUCACGGUUCGCAUCCGCCAACUUGAAGAAGCCAUGGACAGGACAAGGAGGACCAACGAGGCUCUGCAGCAUCAGCUGGCUGCAUCUAGAGCCGAAGUUAGGGAACUCCGAGCACGCCAAAGGACUCAUGAUCGACACCUUCAAGAAGUUAUGCGUCAGCUAGCGGAUCUGAGGAUUCGCCCAACAAGUAACCGUCGCCAGUAGAAGACGUCUAGUUACCUCACUCUUUUGUUUAAAGGACUAGCCUUUCCUCUCUAUGUUCCGUAGAUCUCUUGUCUGUAAACAUUCCUAGCUUAAAAAUACUCUAACUAGACCUCCAAACUGCCAACAUUUUCCUUAUGGUUUGAUGUAAGACCUACUGUUAGGUCAAUUUUCAUGAACUUGUUACAUUAUUAAUACCAGUAUAUUGGCAGUUGAGUACUCUAUUACUAUGACUCUCAUUCUGAUCUUUGAUUAUGUUGAUUUAAUCCAUGAAACACUCUAUUCACAUUUGCACUAGACUCUUACUAUUGCUAUCAUUUCUAUGAUCUUCAAGUGAAAGAUGCCUCCACGAAAGCGUCCAAGAAGAGGAAGACGAGCAACUCAAACCCCUCCUCCACCACCACCUCCUCCGCAGUUCGAUCCAGUGCUGUUCCAAACAGCUGUGACCGUGGCUGUGACAGCAGCCAUGACCCAAAUGAACUCCGGAGACGCAAGCGGUGGUAACUCCAGGUUUGGUGAAGUCCAUCAAAGAGUGCAUGGAUGCACUUAUAAGGACUUCAUGAACUGUAAACCUACCUUCUUCGAUGGUACCGGAGGAAUCCUGGCAUUGUCUCAAUGGUUCGAAAGAACCGAAGUUGUAUUUGAAAUGUGCUCUUGCCCCGAAGAGAGCAAAAUCAAGUUCGCUACUGCUACCCUCACUAACAGGGCCUUGACAUGGUGGAACGGCCAUGUCAGCGCACUCUCCCUGUUUACAGCCAAUGCCAUGGGCUGGGACACACUAAAAGAUCUCAUGAGAGGGGAGUACUGCCCUAGGGGCGAGGUUCAAAAACUUGAGGAGGAACUCUGGAACCUCAAGAUGAAAGGGACUGACAUAACAACUUACACGACCAGGUUCUGCGACUUGGCGGCUAUGUGUCCCAACAUGAUCCCAUCCGAAAGCAAGAAGAUUGAACGAUACAUCUGGGGUUUAGUGCCCCCGUAUCGAGGAAACUUUCUCGCCUCACGCCCUACCACCUUCGACAGCGCCAAGGAAUUGGCUCAAGGUCUGAUCAACCAUGAAGUCUCUUCCACUCCAGCAACAGAAACCCCCACUACCACUGCACCACCCGAUUCGUCUGACAGAAAAAGGAAGCAAUGGGAUAAGAAGAAAGGCAAGAAAACAGAAACCUCCUCCAAGGACCAGCAAAUUGUGGCGGUCCAUGCUGCCACCACUCCAGCCGCACCUGCCCUGCCAAAAGCUUAUAGUGGGAAUCUGCCCAAAUGUCCCAAAUGUCCUUUCCACCACCACGGCCCCUGCCGUGAAUUGCAGUGCUCCAACUGUGGCCGAAAAGGCCAUAUUGUUCGAUUUUGCAAGGCCCCUCCCAAACCUAUCUCGCAAGUUCCCGAUUCAGGAGUGACCCCGAUGUGUUAUGGCUGCGGUGAAGCUGGUCAUUUCAAGAAGAACUGUCCGAAGGCUGCGAAUGUUGGGGGAACUGGAAGACUACUCACUAUUGGUCACAAUGAGGCGGUAGCGGAUCCCACAGUAGUCACGGGUACGUUUCUUCUCAACAACUCUUAUGCAUGUGUCUUAUUCGAUAGUGGUGCAGAAAGAAGCUUCAUAAAUCAAAACUCUAAACACUUACUCAAACAAACUCCUCAACCACUAAAAGAAACAUUCGUCGUAGAAAUGGCUAAUGGGAAGACUGAAAGCUCUAACGAAAUCUACAUAGGUUGUACCCUCACGUUACACGAUCACCGAUUUCCAAUCGAUCUUAUACCAGUCUCAAUCAAAAAUUUUGAUGUCAUUGUUGGUAUGGACUGGUUGAGUCUUCAUCGCGCCGAUAUCCUAUGCUCCGACAAAGCCAUUCGCCUGAAUCUUCCAAAUCACGAAGCCCUAUUGAUCUAUGGAGAUAAACCCGGUACGGGCCUCCGUAUCAUCUCCAGUAUUCAGGCCCAUAAAUAUUUGCGCAAGGAAUAUCACGCCUUUCUUGCUCACAUUGUCGACACUAGCCAAAAAUCGAAAGAUCCAAAGGACAUUCCCAUUGUAUGAGAAUUCCCUGAUGUUUUCCCAAAGGAUCUUCCAGGUCUACCUCCCAAACGUCAGGUUGAGUUCAGAAUCGACCUAGUCCCAGGAGCUACUCUAGUAGCUAAGUCGCUCUAUCGUCUAGCGCCUGCCGAAAUGCAACAACUAUCAGGUCAACUCAACGAGCUGCUCAACAAGGGUUUCAUAAGACCGAGCUUCUCACCUUGGGGAGCUCCAGUCUUGUUCGUGAAGAAGAAGGAUGGAGCGUUUCGUAUGUGCAUCGAUUAUAGGGAACUCAACAAACUCAGAGUCAAAAAUCGUUAUCCUCUCCCUCGUAUCGACGAUCUAUUCGACCAACUGCAAGGAGAAAGUUACUUCUCCAAGAUUGAUCUUAGAUCCGGGUAUCACCAGUUACGGGUGCUUGAGGAAGAUGUCCCGAAGACCGCCUUUCGAACCCGUUACGGGCAUUUUGAGUUCGUAGUGAUGUCCUUUGGACUGACUAACGCCCCCGUAGUAUUCAUGGACUUGAUGAAUAGGGUGUGUCGUCCAUAUCUAGAUUAGUUCGUCAUCGUCUUCAUUGAUGAUAUACUCGUCUAAUCUCGAAGCGAGGAAGAACAAAAGGAUCACCUGCGACGAGUCCUGGAAACGCUGCGAUCAGAGAAGUUAUAUGCGAAGUUCUCUAAGUGUGAGUUUUGGAUCCGAAAAGUUGAAUUCUUAGGACACGUGGUUAGUGUAGAAGGAAUCCACGUGGAUCCCUCCAAAAUUAAAGCUAUUGAGAACUGGUCAGCACCGAAGACGCCUACAGAAAUUCGCCAAUUUCUAGGCCUCGCUGGGUACUACCGCAGAUUCAUUCGAAACUUCUCUCGGAUUGCGAAGCCUCUCACCAUGUUGACACAGAUGGGUGUAUCAUUUGACUGGGAAGAGAAACAGGAGAAGGCAUUCCAGACCCUGAAGCGAGCUUUAUGCACCGCACCGGUAUUAUCCCUUCCCGAAGGGACAGAGGAUUUUGUUGUAUACUGCGAUGCAUCAAAUCAGGGGCUCGGUUGUGUCUUGAUGCAACGAGGUAAGGUCAUCGCCUAUGCCUCCAGACAGCUAAAGACACAUGAGGUGAACUACACUACUCACGACCUCGAGUUAGGAGCUGUCGUCUUCGCACUAAAAAUCUGGAGACACUACUUGUAUGGGACGAAGAGCGUGGUGUACACUGAUCACAAGAGCCUCCAACACAUACUGAACCAGAAAGAACGUAACAUGAGGCAGCGUCGAUGGGUCGAACUACUCAGUGAUUACGAUUGUGAAAUCUGAUACCACCCAGGGAAAGCCAACGUAGUAGCAGACGCCCUGAGUAGGAAGGAGUAUUCUGGACGAACAACCAAGUCAUUGACAAUGACUAUCCAUUCGCAUCUAUCCACACAGAUCAAGGAGGCCCAGCUGGAAGCCUUAAAGCCUAAGAAUGUAACGGGAGAAUCCCUGCACAGAAUGGAUAAAAUUUUGGAGGUCAAGGGUGACGGAGCCUACUACUUCAUGGACCGAAUCUGGACUCCGCGCCAUGGUGGUUUCAGAGACAUGGUCAUGAGGGAAGCACACAACACUCGCUACUCCGUCCACCCAGGCUCAGAUCAGAUGUAUCUGGAUCUCAAAAAGCUAUACUGGUGGCCUAACAUGAAAGCGGAGAUCGCUACCUUCGUGAGCAAGUGCCUUACUUGCGCGAAGGUCAAGGUCGAAUAUCAAAAGCCAUCAAGACUCCUCCAACAACCAGAGAUACCGGAAUGGAAAUGGGAGCGGAUUACAAUGGACUUUAUAACCAAGCUACCCAAGACAGCGGGUGGGUUGGAUACCAUUUGGGUCAUCGUAGACAGAUUGACCAAGUCUGCGCACUUCCUACCCAUCAAGGAAUUGGACAAGAUGGAGAAGCUCACAAGAACAUACAUAAAGGAAAUAGUGCGGCUGCAUGGCAUCCCUAUAUCUAUUAUCUCGGACAAAGAUAGUAGAUUUACCUCUAGAUUUUGGCAAUCACUACAAAAGGCGCUAGGGACGAGACAGGACAUGAGUACAGCCUACCAUCCUCACACUGACGGACAAAGUAAGAGGACGAUCCAAACUCUAGAAGAUAUGCUGCGAGCUUGUGUGAUCGACUUCGGUAAAUCGUGGGAUACACACUUACCUCUUGUGGAGUUUUCGAACAACAAUAGUUAUCAUACGAGCAUCAAGGCAGCUCCAUUUGAAGCCCUCUACGGCCGGAAGUGCAGAUCUCCUCUGUGCUGGGUUGAGGUGGGUGACACUCAGUUAGCUAAAGGACGAGUUCCUGAUAGCGCUCUCACUGGUCCGGAGAUUAUUUGAGAAACGACCAAGAAGAUUGUACAGAUUCGCGAACGAUUAAAAACCGCUAGGGAUCGACAGAAAAGCUACGCAGACAAACGGAAGAAACCCUUGAAAUUCGCGGUAGGAGACCGAGUCCUUUUGAAGGUCUCACUCUGGAAGGGCACGAUACGCUUCGGAAAGCGUGGAAAGCUGAACCCAAGGUACAUAGGGCCUUUUGAGAUUCUCGCCAGAAUCGGCCCUGUAGCUUACAAACUCAACCUACCCCGAGAGUUAGGCAACAUACACCUUACCUUCCACGUCUCAAACUUGAAGAAAUGCCUGUCCAACGAGACUCUCGUGAUUCCCCUCGACGAGAUCGAAGUUAAUGAGAGCCUCAACUCUGUGGAAGAGCCUGCGGAGAUUAUGGAUCACGAAGUAAAACGAAUGAAACAAAGCCGCAACCCAAUUGUGAAGGUUCGGUGGAACGCCAAGCGGGGACCGGAAUUUACUUGGGAGCGUGGAGAUCAAAUGAAACUCAAAUAUCCCCAUCUUUUCACAUAGUAGUGUUGAAAUACUUAUCUGUAUGAAUUCUAAAUUUCGGGACGAAAUUCCCCUAAUAGGGGGAUGAUGUGACAACCCGAAUUUAUUGCCAUUACAUAAUCCCGUUUUCACUAAAGAAAUUCGUCGUUAUGUAUCAAUUUCCGUAAUGUUUGGAGUCGCCAUUAAAUAAAUAUCUAUUUAUUUAUAAUUUCUUUACAUUAUCAUUUUAGUAUAAGUAAAUAUAACUUGUAAGUGUUAACCCCGUUUAACCAAAUAAAGUUAUAUUACCUUUCAACCACUUCACCCGGGUAAAAAGUUUUAACCGCAUUAAACUUUAGCAUCGGGUAGCCGUGUACCGGGUGCAAUACCCGAGGCAUUUAUAAAGGAAAUGGACACCACUUUGAACACUUUUUACCACUCGUUCACUCUUUCUCACUAUUUUCUCUCUCUAGACCCGAUUCCGACUCCAAAAUCACGAAUUCCGGCAUCCAAACGUAAGAGUUUCUUCCCUAGCUUGUUCUAAACGUAUUCCAUUGUAUUUAGAACACAAAAAUCACAAGAAUUAGUAGAAAACAUGGAGUUUGGACAUCAAAACACCUAAAACUUGGCCAAAAUUCCCAUUUUUCCUUCCUUUAAGCUUGUAUACUAAUUAAGGAAAUUGCCUAGAUGAGUUUGGACAUCAAAACAUAAGUUUUUAGAGCCUAAAAGAGGGAUUACGGCCCAAGCUUGUGCUUAGGCCGUAAACACCCAUUUUCAAUGUUAAAUUGCCCCAAAAAACUCAUCUAAGGCAUGAUAGAAUUUAGAUAUGAUCCUAGGAAAUGUUUAAGGCCAUAAAGCAACACAUUUUAGAACCUAAAAGGGGAGUUUAUGGCCAAGCCUAUGCUAGGGCCGUAAGUACCCAAUUCCCAUGCUAAAAUGUCCCAAAAACUCACCUAAGGCCUUCUAGAAUUUAGUUAUAAUUUAAGGGAGUGCUUAGGACCAUUUAACAAUUCAUUUUGAGGAACAAAAUGGAGUUUACAGCUCAAGCACAAGCUAGGACCAUAAACUCCCCCAAAUGAAACCAAAUGAAGGUUUUAACACUCCAAAUUGGUCCAAGGCAUUUACUAGAAAAAUAUGGAGUUUAUUUGAGGCCUUAACUUUCACUUUUGGAGGAAAACAAGAGUUUACGGCCAAGCCUAGGGGCUUACGGCCGUAAACUCCCAAGGAGUGGCCUUUAGGCCGUAAACUCCAAGGGAGUAAACUCUUGGACUCCCCCGUUAACCCCUCUUGGACUUAUACGAUUCCCAGGAACCCCUUCUAAGCCCUAAGACCCUGAAUCAAUGCUAGAAUGCCUAAAUAUUUUAAUGAAAAGCAUAAAAUGAUUAAAUCCUUGUAAAAUACAUAUUUCAUAUGAUUUUAGGGUCUUAAAAGGUGCACAAGUCUUUAUUUGGUACAAAACGCUCAACCGACACUUUCACCCGAUUUACCCGAUUUAGCCGAUUUACUCGGUUUCAGGUGAGUUCAUACCCCUUUAAUGAACCUUUCAAAUGUUUUUAUAUGUUUUAGGGAGGGGGGAUACAAGUCAAAUAUACAUGUUUAUGGAAAAAUCACAUGUGAUUCACUAUCCAUAGUUCAAAUCACAUGUGAUUUACCGCUAUGCUUUAUAUAAGGAUUUUACGUCUUCAAAACCAUUUUGGUUAAAUAAACAAUUUUCUAAAUGUUCCCUUUGGAUAAGAGUUUUAUUAAAUAAUUUUUUCUUACAAAAAUGUAACCACACUAAUAUACUUAUAUAAGUAAGACUUGAAGGACUUAGGACCGAUAGCUCGCCUUAUUUCCUGUUCUUGUUUGAUUGUGGGCUUAGAGUAGUAGUUAUCUGUCCGACUGUCGUGGAUUUCUUAGUUAUAUAUCAUGUAUAUUAGUGUUGGAUAUGAGUAUUUUCAUUUCAUCCGAUGCUUAAACCACUAAAUGUACAAGAACCAUACACACUAAGUUAACUAUAAUAGGUAUAGUUAAGGCCACUACUACUCGCUAUAGCUACUACUCUACACACUAUAAUACCCACUAUUACGAGACUAUACACUAGUAAGAGAACACACUACGAGUUAUACAAAAGACUACUACACUAUAAUACAAGAGAAAGUACUAAUCCGAAGAUAACACACUAACUCACUAUGAGAUACUCUAUUCGCUACACACUACGCCCAGAGUUUUCCGACAGGAGAACGACGCUACAUGUAUAGAUCUAUACAGGGCAGACACUAUUACAUCCCGACUAUUAAUUUCAGUCUGAGCCAGGCAGGCCCAGGGAUGCCGCUACUUCCUUACACUGUGCAUGACCGGGAAGGUCAUGGGGUCCUCUAUUAUACACACCAUUGGUAACAUACAAGGAAUACACUAUAACCACACUAAAACACUAAACUAAAGGCUAAGUUAAUAUCCCGAAGUAAACAAGUAUCUAACACUAAAGGAAGUUUGCACCACUAUUAUUGACUUCAGGCAUAACCUACCAUAUUGCAUUACUUAUUGGAAAUUCACUAUUAUACUUUUACAAUAAAUGGUUUUCAAAGAUGAAAAUUACAUGUUUCUUAAAGGUUUUCACUUACAAUGUAUUUCUGGAAAAUAUAGGAUUUUCUAGGUUUUUCUACUACUUAUGAAUGUAAAUUGCAGCUUUUCAUACUAUCGGUUCUAAUGCUUUUUAUACAAAAGCUCACACUAAACUCUUAUGAACUCACCAGCUUUAUGCUGAUACUCGUUUUCAAAAUAACUUGUAUCCUCAGGUCAAAGAUAGACAGGUACAGGUGCAGCAUUUUGGAGAAGGUGGAGCAUACAAGAUCCAUCUCUUAUUUUUGUAUUACUUUUGGUGUUUGCUAAACAUU
RNAcentral lists this long non-coding RNA (10087 nucleotides) under Lactuca sativa (garden lettuce). Its description in RNAcentral is "long non-coding RNA (LSAT_LNC002882)". The record is from RNAcentral. Lineage: Eukaryota; Viridiplantae; Streptophyta; Magnoliopsida; Asterales; Asteraceae.